UGGCUUAGAUGGUAAAGCAUCUGUCUGCAAUGCAGGAGACCCAGGUUCGAUCCCUGG
This 57-nucleotide transfer RNA is filed under the name Ovis aries (sheep). It matches the Rfam family "tRNA", at positions 8 to 63 of the family's 71-position model. Rfam says of the family: Transfer RNA (tRNA) molecules are approximately 80 nucleotides in length. The record is from Rfam by way of RNAcentral. Lineage: Eukaryota; Metazoa; Chordata; Mammalia; Artiodactyla; Bovidae.